GGGCCCUUAGCUCACCUGGUAGAGCGCCGCGUUUGCAACGCGGAGGCAGCCGGUUCGAUCCCGGCAGGGUCCA
This 73-nucleotide transfer RNA is filed under the name Patescibacteria group bacterium. RNAcentral describes it as "tRNA-Ala". It matches the Rfam family "tRNA". From Rfam's summary of the family: Transfer RNA (tRNA) molecules are approximately 80 nucleotides in length. The record is from RNAcentral.